UUGAGAGCAGCGAGGGCAGCUCGCCCCUGCGAGCAGCUCGCCCCGCACUCACCAGCCGCGUCUAUCUCGUCACAACGGGUUUAAUUGUGCAUUGACACCAGCAGGCAGCGAGACGACAGGCAGCCCCAAGGAAGAGAUUUAUCCCCUUGUGCAGGGCAGUUUGAUAAGAGACGUCGGCUCUGCGCGGCCGCACAAUGGCUUUUUUAUUUGUUUGCUUAAUACUGGGCUGUUUCAGAAGCGUGUGCAGCUGAACCGGCAGGAGAUGCGAACAGAGCGCGCUCGUUUGGGAAUUACGGGGGUGGCGAUGAACAGGAAAACAGCCCCUGUCUUCUUCACAGGGAAGUCAGCUGAUAAACUGAUCUGAAGGCAGCGUAUCUUCCUUCCUGUAAAACGCAAUAACAGGCAGAUCUUGUGACCUCGGUGGCCCUCUGCCGCGUUGAUUCCUGGCUGGGGAGGGGAAGGGGGAAGCUUUCCUUGGCAAGCAUCGCACGGGCCCUGCAUGAAUCACACGGCCACGCCGACAGCACCAGCCAACAAAGCCGGCGCAGUGGGCCGCACCGCCCUCGGAGCAGGCCCCUGUGCGGGGAGAUAAGCUGCAGCAGCCCUUUCAUCACACAUCCGCUGUGGCCUUCCCGUCGCAGCCACCGGGCCCAGAGGACGGGCAAAAAGGGAGAGCCAGGGCCUGUGGUGUCCUUGCCUGGUCUGGGCUUUCCUCGUGGCCCUGGGCAGAGGGCACGGAUCAGCAUGCCAUUUGUGCCAUCCUGCUGUGCGUGCUCCUUUUGCCCCAGCUGUUCUCCCUCCCUGCCUUGGCAGCAUGCGACAGAGUAAACAUCAUAAAGAACAUAAAAAGGAGUUUUCCUGAGUUUUCCCUCAAGUUCCCCGGCAACGGAAAGCUUUAGCAGGACUUGUUGACUGUUCUUUGCUCCUGUGAAGGGAUCAAGAACUGCGGACAUUUGGGAUUGCUGGAAGUCAGACUGACCAACUAAAUUUCUCAGUGCUGAUUAGAAAGAUCUGAUUGGCAGAGCUGGAUUAUGCUGUGCAGUAACUGUCAAGACAAGACAGAACAAGUAUCAGCCCUUCAACUUUAAACUGUUUGUUGAGAUCUUUCAUGACAUAAACUUGUUUCA
Oxyura jamaicensis (ruddy duck) is the source of this 1127-nucleotide long non-coding RNA. RefSeq lists it as uncharacterized. NCBI's taxonomy places the organism in Eukaryota, Metazoa, Chordata, Aves, Anseriformes, Anatidae. The record is from RefSeq and is a predicted model, not a curated record. The transcript is spliced from 3 exons.